RNAcentral lists this transfer RNA (84 nucleotides) under Sphingobium sp. RNAcentral describes it as "tRNA-Leu". It matches the Rfam family "tRNA". Rfam says of the family: Transfer RNA (tRNA) molecules are approximately 80 nucleotides in length. Their secondary structure includes four short double-helical elements and three loops (D, anti-codon, and T loops). Further hydrogen bonds mediate the characteristic L-shaped molecular structure. tRNAs have two regions of fundamental functional importance: the anti-codon, which is responsible for specific mRNA codon recognition, and the 3' end, to which the tRNAs corresponding amino acid is attached (by aminoacyl-tRNA synthetases). tRNAs cope with the degeneracy of the genetic code in two manners: having more than one tRNA (with a specific anti-codon) for a particular amino acid; and 'wobble' base-pairing, i.e. permitting non-standard base-pairing at the 3rd anti-codon position. Lineage: Bacteria; Pseudomonadati; Pseudomonadota; Alphaproteobacteria; Sphingomonadales; Sphingobiaceae. The record is from RNAcentral.
GCACGGGUGAUGAAAUUGGUAGACAUAGCGGCUUUAAAAGCCGUGGCCUUAGGCGUGUGGGUUCGAGUCCCACACCGUGCACCA